This is a non-coding RNA of Cryptococcus amylolentus CBS 6039, 95 nucleotides long. NCBI's taxonomy places the organism in Eukaryota, Fungi, Basidiomycota, Tremellomycetes, Tremellales, Cryptococcaceae. The record is from the annotation of a RefSeq genome assembly.
GCCUCCGUAGUUUAGUUGGUUAUAACACCCCACUAGUAGUACUAGUAUUCAAUCAACUAAUGGGGAGGUCUGUCGUUCGAAUCGGCACGGAGGCA